GUGGGACUCAAAUGUGGGGGCGCUCUCCCUGCUGUGAGAGAGGAAAGUGCUCCGAUAUUUGGGUCUCCC
Molecule: non-coding RNA, 69 nt
Organism: Erinaceus europaeus (western European hedgehog)
Lineage: Eukaryota; Metazoa; Chordata; Mammalia; Eulipotyphla; Erinaceidae
Source: Rfam